Molecule: long non-coding RNA, 719 nt
Filed under: Pan troglodytes (chimpanzee)
Lineage: Eukaryota; Metazoa; Chordata; Mammalia; Primates; Hominidae
Description: lincRNA
Source: RNAcentral
GCUGACUCUCUUUUCGGACUCAGCCCGCGUGCACCCAGAUGAAGAAACUGAGGUCCAGAGAAGUUAAACAACCUUCCUAAGAUUACACAGCUUAGUAAGUGGCAGAACCACGGCUGGAAGCCAGGUCCUUCCUCAUGCAAGUCCUGGCUCAUUCAUUCCUUUUCCAAAGACUUGCUGAGCACCUUCUAGGUGCCAGAUGUGGUGCUGGCUCCUGGGGACAUGGGAGUAAACAGGCCAGGCGUGGCCCUGAACCAUCAAAUAGACAACCACAGAAAUAACAACGAAUGAUGCUGGAGGCUGACGAAGAUAAGGGUGGAAAGUGGGCAAUAAAUCAGGAGCUGUUGCAACAUUCCCAGCAAAGGAUAAUGGUGAAUAACAAAGACAAAACCGGGCCCUUCCACACAGUAGCUGGAACACAAAGGAAGAUCAGCCAAGCCUCAACAUAAUCUCAUAAAAAUUCUUCAAAUAUCCCAUUGUUAUGGAUUCAUACAUCAGGAAAGCAGAUGCCAAGAACCUGAACACCUUCUACUGGUAACAUAUAUUUUGGCAAGCCAGCCUGGAGACAAGACCACUAUGGGCAACUUCCUGUCUAUUCUACCUGGUGUCACUGUGGACAACUUCCUAUCUAUUCCACUCGAUUCACCGCUUGGCUACAUCCUCCACCAUUGGGAUGAAUUUGACCCUAACAAUCUAAAGAAAAGGCAUAUGAUUUUUUACUG